GGGGAUAUGGCUCAGUUGGUAGAGCGAUGCGUUCGCAACGCAUAGGCCGUGGGUUCGAGUCCCAUUAUCUCCACCA
Molecule: transfer RNA, 76 nt
Filed under: Clostridia bacterium
Lineage: Bacteria; Bacillati; Bacillota; Clostridia
Description: tRNA-Ala
Rfam family: tRNA
About the family: Transfer RNA (tRNA) molecules are approximately 80 nucleotides in length. Their secondary structure includes four short double-helical elements and three loops (D, anti-codon, and T loops).
Source: RNAcentral